UGCUGCGCGCCGGCGCCUCUCGUCUUCUCUCCAUGUGUCGGCGUGUGCAUGCGUGCGUACGACGUUGUUGGCGAGACACUGCCACUUCCAGUCGCAGGAAAGGAAUCGCAACUCGAGGCAGCCUCUCCCUUGAGUGAUUGACACGCACCUCUACCCACUGCCACACGCGCAUUGGUGGCCACGUCACCCGUCUACGUCUGCUUCGCCUCCUCUGCCCUCCGCCGCGCCUCGCAUGCAGGCGUUGCAAUCCUGUGAAAGGCUGCGCCACCGCUGAGACCAUUUCGUUUUUUUCUUUUGUUUGUUUUACUGGUUUCCACUGGUGCGUGUGGUUGGUGCGCUGGAGAGACAUGUAUUUUAGUGCUGUCAAAGAGACCGCCGCACUUUCUCGGUCACUCCUCCCCACCGCUCGCUUCUGCAUCGUUGGCUUCGGCGCUUAACGGGCCCUCCCCCGGCUUCCCCCACCGCCUCAGAAACUGUCCAUCUCCGCCUUUCAUCUGACAUGUUUCUUCUUCUUCACUUUUCGUCUUCUCUCGAGCUCCCGAUAG
RNAcentral lists this unclassified non-coding RNA (545 nucleotides) under Leishmania donovani. RNAcentral's name for it is "gene:unknown". Lineage: Eukaryota; Euglenozoa; Kinetoplastea; Trypanosomatida; Trypanosomatidae. The record is from RNAcentral.